RNAcentral lists this ribosomal RNA (425 nucleotides) under uncultured bacterium. RNAcentral's name for it is "partial 16S ribosomal RNA". It matches the Rfam family "Bacterial small subunit ribosomal RNA", at positions 354 to 796 of the family's 1533-position model. The record is from RNAcentral.
GUGGGGAAUAUUGGGCAAUGGGCGAAAGCCUGACCCAGCAACGCCGCGUGAAGGAAGAAGGUCUUCGGAUCGUAAACUUCUAUCCUUGGUGAAGAUAAUGACGGUAGCCGAGAAGGAAGCCCCGGCUAACUACGUGCCAGCAGCCGCGGUAAUACGUAGGGGGCAAGCGUUGUCCGGAAUGAUUGGGCGUACAGGGCGCGUAGGCGGCCUGGUAAGUCUGGAGUGAAAGUCCUGCUUUUAAGGUGGGAAUUGCUUUGGAUACUGUCGGGCUUGAGUGCAGGAGAGGUAAGUGGAAUUCCCGGUGUAGCGGUGAAAUGCGUAGAGAUCGGGAGGAACACCAGUGGCGAAGGCGACUUACUGGACUGUAACUGACGCUGAGGCGCGAAAGUGUGGGGAGCAAACAGGAUUAGAAACCCUAGUAGUCC